Humulus lupulus (European hop) is the source of this 541-nucleotide long non-coding RNA. RefSeq lists it as uncharacterized. The record is from RefSeq and is a predicted model, not a curated record. The transcript has 3 exons. NCBI's taxonomy places the organism in Eukaryota, Viridiplantae, Streptophyta, Magnoliopsida, Rosales, Cannabaceae.
UAUUUUUCUUCUUCACGCAAUCACAACUAGGGUUCUCUCCGAGGAUGGCUUCCUUUGUUCCUCAUGUGUUGAGCCUCUCUUCUUCUCCUUCGCUAUUUCUCUUUCUCUAACUCUUUUUCUCUAUCAAUAUCGAUGGGCUUCGACUUCGACUGUGACGGGGUUGGGUUUAUGGGCUUCGACAUCUAUGGUGACAAGCUUGUAGCAAUGGUAUUGAUUUAUGAUUUGAAGACAUAAGUGCUUCUAAAAUCCUUAUUGUUAUAGGUUGUUAUACUAAUGAGCGAAGUGGAGUCCAUAUUCAUAAAUUACUUUUCCAACAAUGAUAGAGAAAGACAAUGAAGUUUUUGAGGUCACAUUUGUACAGAGAUUCUCACAUGGUCACUUUUUUGUUGGUAAAUAAUUUGACUAAUUUCUAGCUUCUCUCUAUAUAUAUCUUCUUUAUUAAUAAAGACAAUAAUUCUAUAUAUUUAUAUAUAUGUAUCUUCCUUAUUAAUAAAGACAACAACAAUGGAAAAUCAAACAUUUUGAGCUUUUAAUCAUUCUA